RNAcentral lists this ribosomal RNA (241 nucleotides) under uncultured bacterium. Its description in RNAcentral is "partial 16S ribosomal RNA". It matches the Rfam family "Bacterial small subunit ribosomal RNA", at positions 113 to 354 of the family's 1533-position model. The record is from RNAcentral.
CGACGUGAGGAACCUGCCUUUCAGAGGGGGACAACAGUUGGAAACGACUGCUAAUACCGCAUAAUGCAUAGGUAUCGCAUGGUACAGAUGCCAAAGAUUUAUCGCUGAGAGAUGGCCUCGCGUCUGAUUAGCUAGUUGGUAGGGUAACGGCCUACCAAGGCGACGAUCAGUAGCCGGACUGAGAGGUUGGCCGGCCACAUUGGGACUGAGAUACGGCCCAGACUCCUACGGAAGGCAGCAG